Molecule: long non-coding RNA, 210 nt
Filed under: Homo sapiens (human)
Lineage: Eukaryota; Metazoa; Chordata; Mammalia; Primates; Hominidae
Description: non-protein coding lnc-PSMD1-2:1
Source: RNAcentral
AUGGACACCAGCCGUGUGCAGCCUAUCAAGCUGGCCAGGGUCACCAAGGUCCUGGGCAGGACCGGCUCUCAGGGACAGUGCACGCAGGUGCGCGUGGAAUUCAUGGACGACACGAGCCGAUCCAUCAUCCGCAAUGUAAAAGGCCCCGUGCGCGAGGGCGACGUGCUCACCCUUUUGGAGUCAGAGCGAGAAGCCCGGAGGUUGCGCUGA